RNAcentral lists this long non-coding RNA (9141 nucleotides) under Equus caballus (horse). RNAcentral describes it as "lncRNA (ENSECAG00000049132.1)". The record is from RNAcentral. Lineage: Eukaryota; Metazoa; Chordata; Mammalia; Perissodactyla; Equidae.
AACCACUUAACGUAUUUUCUAUUUUACUUAUUUACAUCGUUUGCAGUCUGUGGACCCUGCCCUACUCCUGAAUGUAUACGUUCCACCAAGAUGGCAAUUUCUGUCUAUUUUUUCCCCACCGUUAUAUUCUCAGUGCCUCAGUCUCAAUGUGUUUGUUGAGUGAAUGAAUAAACAAAUGAAUGCUAACUCUUGUUACCCAGGCAGAGGAAUUCCUUAAGCUCACUCGUAUCUCAGAAAGGUGAGACAGAGAGGAAAGGUUUCUAUCAUUUUUAACUCAUUGUUAUGGAAAUGACAACACACGGUUCAGGAGCCAAUGUGAUGUGUCCACGUAACAGCUUCUCACUAGUGUGGCUUGUUUUGGGGGCAAAUCAUAAAUUCUCAGAGCAGCAUUCUUCAAAGCCUUUUGACUUGACUCACAUUUAAAAACACAUUUCCCAUUCUGCCUCAGUACACGCAUACACACAUACAUAAUGGAAACAAAGGUUUCACAAAACAGUACUUAUCCUUAUGACAUGCUCUCAAGGUUUCCCGUCCCAUUUCAUUCUGCUAUAUUUCACUGUUUAAAAACUGGAUAAGACCCCCUGCUAGGUCCUGGAGAAAUCGUGCAGGCAGGCACCCAUCCUCGCUGUUGUCAAGCAUCUCCCGGGUUUGGAUUGCCAUGGGUUCGACACUGUUGUUCCGGGUGUGUAUGGUGAGGGCAUCUUCGGUGCUGCCUGGAGAAGGGAACCAUCCGCCUUAGCAGAUAAGAGGGCUGGGGGCAGAGCUGCAUCUUCUCGUGAAACUGAGGCGCCUGAGAGGGACUGUGCCUGGACCAAGAACUGCCGUCCUCCUCCUGCCACUGAGCCAGGAUAUGCCGGGCCAUUCUCAUCUUCUUCUUCAUCUUCAUUCUCAUCUUCGUUAGCUGGUCUGAGUGUUCACCGAGUUCAAAGACUCUACAGCAUCCCCAUAACGGGUACAAGUGACCUUUAAUCCUGGUCCUGUCUCAGAUGUCUAAAUGGUCCCUGACUCACAGGCAUUUGGUGCUUGAAUUUCUGAUUGUCAAGUGUUUUUAAAAAUCACUAAAACAUGAGCCACCUCACAUGGUUCCAAAUGGCAUGACUCGUGAAGCUAAUGAAAAAUUAUGGCAAAGCACUUUUCCUACAGCGCAAGCUACUCAUUGGGCCCAGAAAAGGCAAUGUUGAUGAAGUGCCAUUAAAUUACGGCCUGAGAUGCCACCUGCGGGCAAAUCUGGGUCUAAUUUGCCUUUUUGCAAGUCGUUUUCUAUUUCUUUGAACGUGAAAUGAAUCCCGAGGACGGUAGAUGAUAAAGAUGCUGCCCCUUCAAAACUGAUUUGAUUUUAAACGUAUUUGUCUUUCUUUUUUUUUUAAGCAUGUGGUUCAAGAGGAAUGAUAAUAAUAAAAAAAUCUCUUCCUAAGUUUCAGCUCAGCAGUACCUCCAUAUGGGGAAAAUGCCCCCGACACACACCUUACUCCCGUGCUGCCCUGUCCCCACCACACAGCCUGGGGGGUGAGAAGCUGGGCUGGGGAUGGAAGGCAGGUAGGUGCUGGACCACAGAGAGUUCAGGGAGAAAGCAGGAGUAAGCGAGUCAUCUGGAGGGUUCUUUCUGGCUCUCCUCUCCCUUGGCCCGUUUCCCUCACCUUCCCUGUGGGCCGUGCCCGUUUGCUCUGAUUUCUUUCUUAUGGUCGGAAGCCCCCAUCUCUCUCCCCUGUUGUUUCCAUUUAAACCUUCCUGCCUGGUGUCUCACUCCUGGAGGAUAAUUGUUAAGUUUAGUGGAUUUCUCUGCAAAGGUAACACUUUUUGUCACCAUGAGGAAACAAAGGCCAGCUCCACAGUGUGGGAAAUUCUACAGGGCAAAUGACCGGCUUUUUCCACCGCAUGAGUAGCAUGGGGACGAGGGGAGGAGCUGUUAUAAAGAAAAGAGACCAGAGACGUACUAAUCAGAGUCAACUUCGUCUCAAAGGAGCGGCAAGAGCAUAAAGAAUCCCGGACUGUCAGUCAUGCAGCUUCAACCUUUAUCAAUAUUUUGCAUUAAGCAUUUCUUUCCACACUAAGGGUCAAACUGACCUGCUGUGCCAGCAAACGUCUCCCGACUGUGGUAAACGAGCUAUCCCUGUUGUAUGAUACAUGUUCCUUGUUCCAAGACAGUACAUAACCACGCAUCCACGUGGCUUCUUCCGAGUCCUCCUUCUUGGGGGAGGUGCUCUCCCGGGCUCUCUAAUCCACAGACUGACUUGUAUAAGGAACUCAUCUCAAUUUUGAUUUAUAGAUUGAUUAUUGAUUAUUCGUGUCGACAGUUUGUUUCAUGGAGAAUUCCAAAACAGAUCCAAGAGUUCACAGUAUUUCACCCAUAACUACUUCAACACGCACCUCUUGCAGAAAGACUCUUCGGCAAGAAGCGUUCAGCCUUCAGAGCGGGGCUCCCCGGGAAGCACCCCUGUGACUGGAAGGGAGGGUUUCCUCUGAGGACAUUGUUCAUAAAAACAUGUUGUUUCUCUAUCUGAACCCGUGGGAUAAAAAUCCUUCUGGACAUGGCUUAGGAAAACCUCCACAAUCCCUCACCAAAACAUUUAAAAUUCUGUAUGCAAUCAAAGUUUUCUAUGUACAAGAUGCGCUAGGAAGCUGAGAGACGAGUCUGUGGCCAACCGUGCAUCUAUGUACACUCUGCACCACGAAACUGUGUUUUAACUUCAUUUCUGACUCAAACACGUCCCUCUUCUUGCUGUCACUUUUUCUUUCUCAUCUACUUCAAAUCUGUGUUACCUCAUUUUAUUGGUAUGUCCCUGUAAGCAGAGGUGUGCUGGUGAAUAUUUCACACUAAUUCUCUGGGGAAAAAAAGUAUAUAUAUAUAUGCAAAUUAAUUAUAAAUGUUGCUGCUAUAAAUGUAUAACCCACAAUAAGCAAAUAAUAGUAAAAUACACAAUACUCUUUAUUGUAAAUUCCAUGCAGCCAACUGAGUCCCUCAGAACGUUUUUGAUGAUUUUUGUCAAACUCUGUAUCCACAGCUAACGGAUGGUUACAACCAACAAUCAAAAAUAGUUGAGACACGAAUGUCGGUUGAUACUUUUAUUUACUUUAACAAGGAAGAGGAAGUGAAACAAGAAACACCUAUGUCUUAUGUCAGAACUUCACUCAUUCCUCAAUGAUGUGAGCCACUUUUUUGCUAAAUUGGUUGUUUUCAAAUACCGGCGGACUACUUCCCCAAUUUUUUGUGCUACUCAGAAUGUAACUACUAGAGACACGGCACACUUUAAAGUCUAUUCUGCACUGUUACCAUUCUAUCCAUCACUUUGUGAAGUCUAGACAUCAAUAAAGUGAUCAAUGAAGCCUUGACCUGUAGUGUUUGCCCAUUUCCAUGGUGUAAAUACUCCCGCCGUGGCCGAUUUAAGGAUACCCACGUGAGGUCACUGAACACGGAUCGGGAAGAGAUGCACAAGAGGACUCCAGUCUGUAGCAUUUUCACAACACAGAUACAAUGGACACAAAGAACCUCAACAGUAUACGUAACAGUGAAACGGGACUAGGAAGUGAUGAGUUUGAGUAUUUAUUACCUUUAUUUUUAAUGUAAUUUAUUUAAUUGUAAGUUUAUGUAAUUUAACUUUUAAUAAUGGCUGUGUUUAACAAAUGACUUGCAAGAUUCCUAUAAAUUUCUCAUAAGCCAGUACAGGAUGACUCUGGCUCGCCACUGUCUGUAAGCCACCCAAACUAAUUUGGGGUUUAAGUGGGGUAUGAAGGAUUAAUAAAACAGCAUACUUGUGGGAAUUCCUCUUCUGAUAGGAUGAUGGAUUGCUCCUUCCUGAGAAGACCAGAUCCUGGAUUAAUUGUGACAAACACUAUUUAAAGUACUGCUGAAUUAUUUACAACAGCCAAGACACAGAAAUAACCUAAGUGUCCACUGGUGGUUGACUGGAUAAAUAAGACAUGGAAUAUGUACACCGUGGAAUACUAUUCAGGCAUAAAAAAGAAGGCGAUCCUGCCAUUUGCAACGACAUGGAUGGACCUCCAGGGCAUUAUGCUAAGUGAAAUAAGUCAGACAGAGAAAGACAAAUACUGUAUGAUCUCACUUAUAUGUGGAAUCCAAAAAAACCCAAAGUAAUAGAAACAGAGAUUAUAUUUGUGGUUGCAAGAGGCAGGGGAAUUGUUGGUCAAAAGGUACAAAUUUCCAGUUAUAAGACAAGUAAGUCCUGGGGAUGUGACGUACAGUGUGAUGACUACAGGUUAUACGUCAUUUACAGCAGCAAAAUUUAUAAUAAAUUUGUGUAAUAUAUAUGCUUUUUUUUUUCCCAAGAAAGUUGAGCUUAAAAGUUCUCAUGACAAGGAAAAGUAUCUUUGUACCUAGGUGAGGUGAUCAAUGUUAACUAAACUUACUGUGGUGGUCCUUUUGCACCACAUACAUAUGUCAAACAUUACGUUGUACACCUAAAACUAAUACAAUCUUAUAUGUCGAUUAUAUCUCACAUCUCGAUAAAACUGGGAAGAAAGUUAAAUUAUUGCUGAGCUCAAAUGAACAUAUGGGGAACCACUCAGGUUCAAGGGGCAAAACAAUAGGAGCAGUGAGCUAAAACCAGGUCAAUAAACAAUAAAUGGAAAACAAAACCAAAAAUAACCCAAAAAACAAACAAUGGUUGGCCCUGCAGGUCAUGGUCACUGCUUCCACCAGCACGGGGACCGAGACAGAGCUGGACCGUGCAAAGAAAGGGAGCGAACCUCAGCCUCCAGCGGUGAGGACAGAAAAAUGAUUCACCCCCCAGCAGAGGAAGGCUCCCCACAAUUUGGAUUAUCUCCAUCGUGACCCCAGGUGGAAAAGGUGGAUAACAGUAUGUUCUUCUGGAAACAUGCAUCCACAGGCCUUAUCUGACCCUGCUGUGGAGGUCACAUUUACAGCCCUCGUGCAACCCAGCUUUAGCAUAAAAAUUCAAACAUUCGCUGGGGGCAGCGGCCCGGGUCUCCAAGGCCGCAGGGACCCCCGGCCCUCGCCCCUCGUCCUGAGUAAGACCCAGAGCCAGGGACACACACGCCAAGGCCACCUGGAGACCAGGCCCAACCAGGCUCUGAGCUGCCGGUGGAGAAGACUGCUAUCCCGGCAGGCUUCCUGGAGGAGGCAUCCUGGAGGAGGGAGAAGGGAAGACGAAACCAGCACUCGCUCUGGGCAGAGCUUAGUACUAUCAUUGGCUCCUCUUUCUCCUUUCCACGGUGAUUGUCUUCUGACCAAUGUGUGUAGGACCCCCUUCCCCAAUCCAGUGCCACUUGGGCUGCAACCCUCCUCUCCUCUAGAACAGCCUGUGGCUCCUAGCAGCCGGCACACUCACUGCCAAAGCCCUCGAGUCCCGCACUGGUGCCCUGCCACCUGUGCCUCUUUCACAGCCCUCCACGGCUGCUCAGGGUGACCUGCUCCCCGAACUAAUUUGCAGCUCACAGCAUCCUCCCUCCUUCUGAAAAACAAACCCAACUCAGCAUGUAAGGUCUCCAGACUCCCUUCCUCAUUUUCCCCUCUGCCCUUGCUCCCCAAGUGCCAACAGCCUGUGAGGGCACGGUGCUCACACGGGUAAAUGCCCACCACCCAACUCUUACAGGGCAGAGGGACCCGCCCUAGUGCACCCGGUGUUCCGGAGAGACUGGUCUCCUCUCCGUCCUUAUUCCCUCCCGCUCCCCCUUCAGAUCUGUGAAAGUAAAAAAAAAAGUAAAACGAAGUAGUGCCAGGUUGGCAGCAGCAUGACACAAUGCCCAAGAAAGCACAAUUCUCUGGAGGAACAAAUUAAGUUCAAUCAAAUAUUAUCCCUCCAUUAAAAAUGAACAAAUAAAGAGGGAAAUAAAUGAACAUGGGUGGAAUCAGGAGAAACAACACACCACAGAAUACAUCCCGAAGGGCUCCAGCUACCGGAACCACUGGGGACAAAAUGACCCCGUAAAAAAUGUUUAAAGGAAAAGAUGGAAUUAGAAAAGGAGAAAGAAACACAGCACCAGGAAGAUUUGAAAAAUGACUCAUAUGAGAAUCUUAGAAUGGAAAUAUUAUUAAAAUUAAAAACAAUAUUAUUAAAUAUUAUUAUUAUUAAAAUUAAAAUAUUAUUAAAUAUUAUUAAAAUUAAAAACAAUAAGCUGGCCAAACAGAAGAUUAGAUACAUUGAGAAAAGAAGCCACAAUCGGGGAGAAGACAGAGCCAAGGAAAUUACCCGCCAUUAAGCACAUAGAGGCAUGAAACAGAAAAAAAUGAAAGCAAAGAGAGAGGGAAGAUAGAAUGAGACGGUCUAACAUGUGUCCAAUUCGAAAGGAAAUAAUAGAGAAAAUGUAAGGACAUAGCCGCUGAGAUGCUGUAAAAUUCAUGAGACAAUACACAGAUAAGAAGCGCAUAGAUAAAUGAAGAGAAAUCUCCAUCUAGACAUACUGUAGUAAAACCACAAAACAAGAAAGACAGAGAUGAUCCCAAAAGCAGCCAGAGAAGAAGGACAUCUUGGUUACAAGUCAUGACGAUUAGACCAAUAGCCAACUUGCCUAGAACUACAUAGGAAGCCAGGAGAGGGCUGGAAAAUCUCUGCUGAGACAAAAUAACCACCAGCCUAGAAGGACCUCACCAGUAAACUGUCAAGAAAACAGGAGAAAUGACCAGACAGACGGAGAUGACCACCAAAAGGACCUGCACUCGAGGAAGGACAACCUAAGAAGAAAAGAUGAGUCUGGAAAGGCCUGUGAGUAAAGAAAUUGGUAAACAGGGAAGUACGUAUGAACACUAAUUGUGUAAAAUCAUAACAAUUUCUAAUUUUUAGGGUAAAAAAUGGCAUUAAGACAUUCAACAAUAGCUUAGAAGUAAGGGUAGGGGGAUCUGAGUUAAGGAGGUCCAAUGUCCUCACAUUGACAGGAAAGGAAUUAAGAUACGAUUAAAUUUGUACUUUGGUAAGUUAAGCAUACAUGUUAAAGUUUCAAGGACAAAUACUAAAAAAAAGGUAGAAAUUGAGGGUACAACUUCCCAGCCAGGAAAGAGGGGGAAAUGGAAUAAGAAAAGCAAGCAAGCAAGCAAAGAAAGACAACCCAUUCAAAAAAAGGUAAGAAAGGAGAGAAAAAGGAGCUGUGUUUAAAUGGUGAAAUUAAGGAGUCACCAGGAGGACGGCGCUGACUGGGGCAUCUGAAGCAGGGUGUCCCUUCCCUCCCGCACCUCGUGAGCACCCACCCUUCUGCCCACCCCCCCAGCCAGGCUGGCUCCAAGCUGAGCGCCCCCAGGCAGGUGAGAGCCAAGGGCGGGCAGCCAGGGGGCCUGGGCUCUAGACGCUGCUUCCCAGAGAGGAGGGAGCCUCUGCCCUUUGGCUUCCACAUCGCCGCCUUUCAGGAUCUCCUGAGCAGCUCUGGCUCAGUCCGAUUCCCUCUGCCAGAUGCCUUGCAAAGUCUUUGUCUGGUGGCCAUGCAGUCAAGUGAAAUGUAUGUUCACAGCUGGGGCUCCCGCCCCACCUAAGGUUGGAUGGAGUGGAUGCGCCUGGAGAGAGCCAGCAGCCCCACGCUCAUCCCUGUCCCGCCAUUUGUUGCUGUGCAAACUCGGCCCCUGGGCAUCAUCUCUGCGUAAUUGUCCUCAUCUGUGCCAGUGAGGAGGAUGGACCAGACAAUCGUCCAGGUCCUCCAUCGCUCUAAUAUCCCUUGGUUAUGCUCCUCCUUAAAUGCGCAUCAGAGACAUUCAGUUGUGAGCUUGACUUUCUAAUAAUAUUGAACUCUCCUCUCUGUGCAUAGCCCUCAUAAUCUGCUUACAUAACAUGUUCCUUUGCUCACAAAACACAACAGCAAUAGUUCCUCUGACGGCCUUGUAUUCAGUUACUGCCCUUCUUAAUAUCAUUUUUCUAGGACCUCAAGUGAGGAGAGAUUUAAAAAAUUAAAAAUUAAAAAAGUGUAAAACCCUCAGUGACUCGGUUUCACUUUGAAAUGUCUCCUUUUGCCUUUUCUCCUGUGUUCAGGUGCAUCAGGCCUGUCUAGUUGGCUCGGAUCUUAAGUCCUCCACUCAGGGACCUAAUGGACCUUUAUCCACCUGGAUUUAGAAGCCAGCCCCUCCUGACAGCGCACUAGUAAGCGUUCCAAAUGACCUUUCAGUAUCAAAAUUAAAUAGUCGUUGUCCACCACCAUCCAGCUUGAUUUACGUGAUGCUUUUGACGUGAUUAAUCAUAGCGUCGCUCCGCUAACCAUCCUCAUUAAACUUUCAAGGUUCCGGACUCCAGUCUCUGGCAUGUUUCAUCCUGUCCACACCUUCACCUCAGACAGGAUGAGUGCCCGUCAUGCUCAAGCAGAGGGCACCCCAAAGCCUAAUGCUCCCAGUUAUUCUCCUUGCUUGUUAUCUCUCAGGCUCAAAUCCAUCCACCUGUUUCACCAGAACAAGAGGGGAGCAAUGGAGCAGCAUCAUCCUUGACUGAGCGCUCAGCUCCUUGCCCAGCCGUCCUCCUUGUGUGGGAGCAUUGCACUCAGGUGGAUGGUCCAGAUGCAUCCUGGGUUUCUCCUCCAAAUCUGCAAGAGCAUUCUCUCUCUAAAGGUCUUGGGGGUGUUCAUGGAAUUCUCACCACAUUCUAACCACUGGCCUGUGUAAUCUCAGUCAAACCACUCAUGCUCUAUGCACCCGGGACCAUCCAGAUAACCCUUGCCACUUGGCAUUUCUGGUGAUACUGCCAGGAGGGUUGGUAUUCAGCUGGUUGGCACCAGUAAGUCCUAAUGAGCGAUUUACAAUCUACGGCCAUCCUCACUGUCCUGUGCCUAUGACACACCAGCUGUGAAAUGUAUUACAUAUGACCUGGAGGUGGAUGCCACUCAGUUUAUAAAUGAGGAGACCGAGGCUCUGAGUUGCGUGGGAAGAGGGGUAGGAUGCAAGGUGUCCAUUUUGCUGGUGCAGACCAUGGCAGGGGUGGGUGGUCCUGGAGUCAGAGGGGAGCAGCAACUUCCUGGUCAGGUCAAGACAGCAGCUGCUGGCAGCCGUGUCCUAAAAUGUGGUCUGGAGGGCUGUUCUGGAAGCCUGUAGACAACUUAGACAAAAUGGACACGUUUCUAGAAAGACACAAACUACUGAAACUGACUCAAGAAGAAAUAGAAAAUCUGAAUAGACCUAGAAUAAGCAAAGAGAUUGAACUUGUAGUUUUAAAACUAUCUGUAAGAAAAGUCCUGAUCUAGGUGGCUUCACUGGUGACU